RNAcentral lists this long non-coding RNA (1187 nucleotides) under Salvia miltiorrhiza (redroot sage). Its description in RNAcentral is "long non-coding RNA (SMIL_LNC000667)". The record is from RNAcentral. Lineage: Eukaryota; Viridiplantae; Streptophyta; Magnoliopsida; Lamiales; Lamiaceae.
GCCACUUAAUAUAAUGAAAUAAAUUGGACUUCCUGCUUAGGACUUAAAUCAAAAGCCUAUUUCAAUUAAUCAAUUUUAUUUAUGAGCCCAAAUUAGAGGUCUAAAAGUGACUAAUAAAUCAACCCCAAAUCUCAAUCUCUCUCUUAAAAGUUGACAUACAUAAAACCCUCACUCACUCUUCUUCUUCUUCUCCCCCUUUCUCUCUCAACCUCUCGCCCUCCUCCUCUCCCUCUCUGAUUCCGACGCCGUCGCCACCUCCGGCGAAUAGCCACCGCAAUCGCCGCUGCUACGCCUGCCAUCUCCUGCUCCAGCCCGGCGUCUCCCUUCAUCUUCUCCCUCCCUCGUUUCCACGGCCGAGCAGCGCCAGGAGCGGCGCCGCUCACAGAUCCCCUGCCAUAGCCGCUGCCCCCUGUUCCCCAUUCGUCGGCCACCGUGGCGCAAGCAGCGCCCGACGGCGCCGUCCAGCCGCCUCCCUCUCUUCACCGGCUAUUCAGCAUACCUUCACCCAAUUUUCCCUCAUCACCACUCUACUUCCAUAUUUCUAAUUUCAGUUUAAUUAUUUUAGAUUGGAUAAAUUUAUAUAUCAAAUCUGAUAUUUGGGUUUUCGUAUCAUAAUUUAUGGUGGAAGCUUGUUGGUUUUGUUUCUCUGCAUAAAGGAAAAAUAGAAGGAAAUAUUUGCUGUAUUGAAAUCAGAUCAUGGAAGAAUAGAGUUUUACCUCUGCAGUGAAAGGAAAGAACUUGAUUUUCUUGCUGGAUAAGUUUACGAUUGUAAAUUUCAGAUAUAGAAAAAGGAUGAAAUAAGAUAUAGAUAGGUGAUUGAAUCUGAUAUAUAUGUAUGGCGGUGAGGAAUCGGGAUAAGAGAGGAGUAUGGCGGUUGUGGUUGGAUAAUUGAGAUUUGUUGCAGACUUUUAUUUUAGAAUGCAACAGUGAAGAUAAAUAAUGAAAUCCUUGAUAUACUUGGGUUACUAUUUUCAAAAAAAUAAUUUGGAUUACUAAAAUGAAUAAAAAAAAGACUCACGGUUAAAUGAAAUAAAUGGCUGAAAUGUGGAUGAUGAGAAGGAGCACAUAUCUAUCUCAUCUCAGGUUUAGAAUCAAUUAAAAUUAAUAUUCACAAUUUACAUGAAAAUCAUGAGCUUCUCAUUUAACUCUAAUCCAAUGACAAUAGAAAAUAAAUAAAGCCCGAAAAU